This 395-nucleotide long non-coding RNA is filed under the name Musa acuminata (dwarf banana). RNAcentral describes it as "long non-coding RNA (MACU_LNC006975)". Lineage: Eukaryota; Viridiplantae; Streptophyta; Magnoliopsida; Zingiberales; Musaceae. The record is from RNAcentral.
CUGAUAAUAACACAUGCCCAACUGAGCAUUUUCACAUACAUGUUUUUUGAGUUUCAAACUUUCAUUGCACGAUAAGAAGGAAGGAUGAGGCUUGUGAUUGCAAAACUUGGCAUCGUUUCUACUAAGCCACAGCAUCGAAAGAGAGUUGGAAUAUGAUUUAGGUUGUUGUUGGAAGAAAUCAACAUUUGACCUCCACAAAAAGCUACACUGGACCAGAAAAUACCAUUUGCGAUUGAAAGCCAAAGAGGAUCUGAAACUUGUCCGUCAUCCUAAUUUGGUGUGCAUUUAUUUCAUUAACCUACGAGAUUGUAAAAUCAUGUCUAUGUACUUCCAUCUAGUUAUCUAUCAACACCUAAUUUGAUAGUUUAUCGUCACGUCGUAGCUUUUAAUCUCUU